AGUAACACGUGGAUAACCUACCUAUAAGACUGGGAUAACUUCGGGAAACCGGAGCUAAUACCGGAUAAUAUUUUGAACCGCAUGAUUCAAAAGUGAAAGACGGUCUUGCUGUCACUUAUAGAUGGAUCCGCGCUGCAUUAGCUAGUUGGUAAGGUAACGGCUUACUAAGGCAACGAUGCAUAGCCGACCUGAGAGGGUGAUCGGCCACACUGGAACUGAGACACGGUCCAG
RNAcentral lists this ribosomal RNA (231 nucleotides) under uncultured Staphylococcus sp. RNAcentral's name for it is "partial 16S ribosomal RNA". It matches the Rfam family "Bacterial small subunit ribosomal RNA", at positions 109 to 334 of the family's 1533-position model. The record is from RNAcentral. Lineage: Bacteria; Bacillati; Bacillota; Bacilli; Caryophanales; Staphylococcaceae.